RNAcentral lists this long non-coding RNA (735 nucleotides) under Jatropha curcas. RNAcentral's name for it is "long non-coding RNA (JCUR_LNC002016)". Lineage: Eukaryota; Viridiplantae; Streptophyta; Magnoliopsida; Malpighiales; Euphorbiaceae. The record is from RNAcentral.
GGUGGAGUAAGAAGAGAGGGUAUGAAAUGAAUCUAUCAGAAACCAUGCAAUCUGCCUCUCGCUCUGAGAGUCACACAGUCCUUUCAUAUCUGCCAAAAAUAAAAAAUGUUGCAGUAAACUAUGACGUCAUAUUCUGAUAACCAUAAGGCAUGCUUGGAAGCGUGUGAGAAGCGGAUUUCGAAUUCUUCUCUCUCCGUCUGUCUCUGCCGCCAUAAGAAAAGUCCAAGUUAUUAGGGAGAGUGAGGAAGCGUUUCGCAAUGGCUUGCAUCAUCAGCAGCAAGCAAGUAACCAGAGAAAGAGAAAGAGAGAGAGCUGUCAAUCCGUUUCUGAGAGCAUCGUACAAAUAGUCUGUGGAAGCGAGAGGUCAGAGCCCCAUCAUUGUCUCAAUUAUCGGCCAGCUCUGAGCUCUACCUCCAUUGCUAUUUGCAAAUGCUCUGUUUUUCUUUUUAAUUUUAAUUUUUUAAAAUUUUAAUAGUAUCACAGUCAGUACGUACUGUACAAGCAAACAAUGCUUAAUAUUACUAUAGCAGUUGCGUUGGCUACCCGUUGGUGACACCACCCCUCCCUCCCUUCCUCUCUCUCUCUCUCUCUAUAUGUAUAUAUGUCACGUGUAUUACAGAAGAUGGAAAACGAUCUUUCUUUCUUUCUUUUAACUUUGGUUUUCUAUAAAUUCAAGUGAAUCUCACCUCUGUUUAGAGGAUAAUACCUUUUUUUUUUUCUUUUUUUUUUUUUUUU